This 301-nucleotide ribosomal RNA is filed under the name uncultured bacterium. RNAcentral's name for it is "partial 16S ribosomal RNA". It matches the Rfam family "Bacterial small subunit ribosomal RNA", at positions 509 to 809 of the family's 1533-position model. The record is from RNAcentral.
CAGUCGCCGCGGGAAUACGAAGGGGGCUAGCGUUGCUCGGAAUGACUGGGCGUAAAGGGCGCGUAGGCGGCGAUCAAAGUCAGGCGUGAAAUUCCUGGGCUCAACCUGGGGGCUGCGCUUGAUACUGGGUUGCUUGAGUGGGGAAGAGGGUCGUGGAAUUCCCAGUGUAGAGGUGAAAUUCGUAGAUAUUGGGAAGAACACCGGUGGCGAAGGCGGCGACCUGGUCCUUUACUGACGCUGAGGCGCGAAAGCGUGGGGAGCAAACAGGAUUAGAUACCCGCGUAGUCCCUGUCUCUUAUAA